CCUGUUCGAGCGUCAUUUCACCAAUCGAGCCUCGCUCGGCCUUGGGCGCCGCGGUCCGCCGCGCGCCCCAACGUCUCCGGCUUCGCGACCAUCUCGAAGCGUCGUGGUAACAGACUCGCUUCUGGCUCUGGGACGGGGAGGCCGUUAAACUCCACACCAAGGUUGACCUCGGAUCAGGUAGGGAUACCCGCUGAACUUAA
RNAcentral lists this unclassified non-coding RNA (200 nucleotides) under soil metagenome. Its description in RNAcentral is "partial contains internal transcribed spacer 2 and large subunit ribosomal RNA". The record is from RNAcentral.